This 305-nucleotide ribosomal RNA is filed under the name uncultured bacterium. RNAcentral's name for it is "bacterial SSU rRNA". It matches the Rfam family "Bacterial small subunit ribosomal RNA", at positions 334 to 637 of the family's 1533-position model. The record is from RNAcentral.
UUGUCCCUACGGGACGCAGCAGUGAGGAAUAUUGGUCAAUGGUCGGGAGACUGAACCAGCCAAGCCGCGUGAGGGAUGAAGGUACAGAGUAUCGUAAACCUCUUUUGUCAGGGAACAAAGGCGGGACGUGUCCCCGGAUGAGUGUACCUGAAGAAAAAGCAUCGGCUAACUCCGUGCCAGCAGCCGCGGUAAUACGGAGGAUGCGAGCGUUAUCCGGAUUUAUUGGGUUUAAAGGGUGAGCAGGCGGUCUGUUAAGUCAGCGGUCAAAGCCCGGGGCUCAACACCGGCCCGCCGUUGAAACUGGG